Molecule: ribosomal RNA, 515 nt
Filed under: uncultured fungus
Lineage: Eukaryota; Fungi
Description: bacterial SSU rRNA
Rfam family: Eukaryotic small subunit ribosomal RNA
Source: RNAcentral
UUUCCUUACAUAAAAUAUACCGCGUCUAGGAUCGGCGCGAUGUAUAUAUUGACUUCUCGGACACUUCGAGAGAAUUAAAAGCUUGAGCUCCAGGGGGGAGAAUGGUCAAGGCCGAAACCUAAAAGAAAUUGACGAAGGGCCACAACAGGGGGUGAGAUGCGGCUUAAUUUGACUCAACACGGGGAAACUCACCAGGUCCAGACACAAUGAGGAUUGACAGAUUGAGAGCUCUUUCUUGAUUUUGUGGGUGGUGGUGCAUGGCCGUUCUUAGUAGGUGGAGUGAUUUGUCUGCUUAAUUGCGAUAACGAACGGGACCUUAACCUGCUAAAUAGCCCGUAUCGCUUUGGCAGUACGCUGGCUUCUAGAGGGACUAUCGGCUCAAGCCUAUGGAAGUUUGAGGCAAUAACAGGUCUGUGAUGCCCUUAGAUGUUCUAUCGCGCACGCGCGCUACACUGACGGAGCCAGCGAGUACUUACUUGUCGAAACGGCGCGCGUAAUACGUGUGAGACCACCUG